UGGGGAAUAUUGCACAAUGGGCGCAAGCCUGAUGCAGCCAUGCCGCGUGUGUGAAGAAGGCCUUCGGGUUGUAAAGCACUUUCAGCGAGGAGGAAGGCCGUCGUGUUAAUAGCACGAUUGAUUGCCGUUACUCGCAGAAGAAGCACCGGCUAACUCCGUGCCAGCAGCCGCGGUAAUACGGAGGGUGCACGCGUUAAUCGGAAUUACUGGGCGUAAAGCGCACGCAGGCGGUUUGUUAAGUCAGAUGUGAAAUCCCCGCGCUUAACGUGGGAACUGCAUUUGAAACUGGCAAGCUAGAGUCUUGUAGAGGGGGGUAGAAUUCCAGGUGUAGCGGUGAAAUGCGUAGAGAUCUGGAGGAAUACCGGUGGCGAAGGCGGCCCCCUGGACAAAGACUGACGCUCAGGUGCGAAAGCGUGGGGAGCAAACA
Molecule: ribosomal RNA, 427 nt
Filed under: uncultured bacterium
Lineage: Bacteria
Description: partial 16S ribosomal RNA
Rfam family: Bacterial small subunit ribosomal RNA
Source: RNAcentral